UCUCGAUGCUGCGGUUGACACGUUGAUCGUGUCCGUUCACAUGCUGGUCGUCGUGAAGGUCGCUUUGAGCCAGAAUAAGACGACGACAGAUUCGAACUUUACCGAAAACACUAUCUGCGUCCAGCGACGAUAGACACCAAGUUUU
Daphnia pulex (common water flea) is the source of this 145-nucleotide long non-coding RNA. RefSeq lists it as uncharacterized. Lineage: Eukaryota; Metazoa; Arthropoda; Branchiopoda; Diplostraca; Daphniidae. The record is from RefSeq and is a predicted model, not a curated record. The transcript has 2 exons.